This 725-nucleotide long non-coding RNA is filed under the name Macaca mulatta (Rhesus monkey). RNAcentral's name for it is "lncRNA (ENSMMUG00000053222.1)". The record is from RNAcentral. Lineage: Eukaryota; Metazoa; Chordata; Mammalia; Primates; Cercopithecidae.
CAAAGAUCUUUACAUUUCUGCAACACAUUUGAAACAAACGAAGCAGCCAUCCUGCAGGGAAAUGGCAUUGACGGUUGCCAUGGGAACUGUGUGAAGUCACGGAAAGUAGAUUAUCUCAUAAUGCAUUACCCAGUGUCAGAAACAGGCAGCCUGACUAGAGAACAAACUACCAAUUAACGAGCGAGGAAACAGGGCCAGAGAAUUGGAACAAAAUACAAGGCUGCCUCCGAAAGGUUUCUAGAACAGGCACGGCAAAUGAAUUACUUGGAAAAUAUCACACAGUUAAUAUCGACCAUAGAAGCCAUGUUGCACGUCAAUAACAGUGCAGAUGCUUCUGAAAAGCCAGUAAUUUGCAAGCAGAUGGAACUUCAAUAUGGCAAUAGAGAAAGAAUCAAUUAGACCAGAGUCUCCUCAGGAAGACUUUCUAUAGGUAAGACAGAAAAAAGAAUUGUAGUUUCCAUUAAUUGGCAAUGGUAGGAAGAGUAUUACAGAAUAGGGAAAAAUAGGAGGAUAAUCGUAAUGACCAUUUGCUGAGGUUAUGUGCCAGCCACUGUGCUUAGUGCUUGGCCAAUGUUGUUCUCAUUGAAUUCUCAUAAAGACCUUACGAGAUAAAUGCUAUAUUUGACCCUGUUUUACAGAAGAAGAAAAUGAGACUUUGAGCAGUCCACUGACUGGUCAGGUGACUACUAAAUGUUCAAUCCAGAAUUCAUACUCAAAGAUAUCAG